Molecule: ribosomal RNA, 497 nt
Filed under: uncultured bacterium
Lineage: Bacteria
Description: partial 16S ribosomal RNA
Rfam family: Bacterial small subunit ribosomal RNA
Source: RNAcentral
GAUGAACGCUGGCGGCGUGCCUAAUACAUGCAAGUCGAGCGAACAGACGAGGAGCUUGCUCCUCUGACGUUAGCGGCGGACGGGUGAGUAACACGUGGAUAACCUACCUAUAAGACUGGGAUAACUUCGGGAAACCGGAGCUAAUACCGGAUAAUAUAUUGAACCGCAUGGUUCAAUAGUGAAAGACGGUUUUGCUGUCACUUAUAGAUGGAUCCGCGCCGCAUUAGCUAGUUGGUAAGGUAACGGCUUACCAAGGCGACGAUGCGUAGCCGACCUGAGAGGGUGAUCGGCCACCCUGGAGCUGGGCCACGGUCCAGACUCCUACGGGAGGCCGCAGUAGGGAAUCUUCCGCAAUGGGCGAAAGCCUGACGGAGCAACGCCGCGUGAGUGAUGAAGGUCUUCGGAUCGUAAAACUCUGUUAUUAGUGAAGAACAAAUGUGUAAGUAACUAUGCACGUCUUGACGGUACCUAAUCAGAAAGCCCCGGCUAACUACGUG